This 419-nucleotide ribosomal RNA is filed under the name uncultured bacterium. RNAcentral's name for it is "bacterial SSU rRNA". It matches the Rfam family "Bacterial small subunit ribosomal RNA", at positions 340 to 752 of the family's 1533-position model. The record is from RNAcentral.
UACGGAAGGCAGCAGUGGGGAAUAUUGCACAAUGGGCGCAAGCCUGAUGCAGCCAUGCCGCGUGUAUGAAGAAGGCCUUCGGGUUGUAAAGUACUUUCAGCGGGGAGGAAGGCGAUGUGGUUAAUAACCGCGUCGAUUGACGUUACCCGCAGAAGAAGCACCGGCUAACUCCGUGCCAGCAGCCGCGGUAAUACGGAGGGUGCAAGCGUUAAUCGGAAUUACUGGGCGUAAAGCGCACGCAGGCGGUCUGUUAAGUCAGAUGUGAAAUCCCCGGGCUUAACCUGGGAACUGCAUUUUGAACUGGCAGGCUUGAGUCUCGUAGAGGGGGUAGAAUUCCAGGUGUAGCGGUGAAAUGCGUAGAGAUCUGGAGGAAUACCGGUGGCGAAGGCGGCCCCUGGGACGAAGACUGACGCUCAGGU